AUUGAACGCUGGCGGCAUGCUUUACACAUGCAAGUCGAACGGUAACAGGGAGCUUGCUCCGCUGACGAGUGGCGAACGGGUGAGUAAUGCGUCGGAACGUGCCGAGUAGUGGGGGAUAACGCAGCGAAAGUUGUGCUAAUACCGCAUACGUACUGAGGUAGAAAGUGGGGGACCUUCGGGCCUCACGCUAUUCGAGCGGCCGACGUCUGAUUAGCUAGUAGGUGAGGUAAAGGCUCACCUAGGCGACGAUCAGUAGCGGGUCUGAGAGGAUGAUCCGCCACACUGGGACUGAGACACGGCCCAGACUCCUGCGGGAGGCAGCAGUGGGGAAUUUUGGACAAUGGGCGAAAGCCUGAUCCAGCCGUGCCGCGUGUCUGAAGAAGGCCCUCGGGUUGUAAAGGACUUUCGUCGGGGAGGAAAUCCCCAGCGCUAAUACCGCUGGGGGAUGACAGUACCUGAAGAAUAAGCACCGGCUAACUACGUGCCAGCCGCCGCGGUAA
RNAcentral lists this ribosomal RNA (500 nucleotides) under uncultured bacterium. RNAcentral's name for it is "partial 16S ribosomal RNA". It matches the Rfam family "Bacterial small subunit ribosomal RNA", at positions 29 to 523 of the family's 1533-position model. The record is from RNAcentral.